GGGGUGUUAGGGCACGACACCGGAGAGGGAGCCUGAGAAACGGCUACCACAUCCAAGGAUGGCAGCAGGCGCGCAAAUUACCCAAUCCCGACACGGGGAGGUAGUGACAAUAAAUAACAGUACGGGGUUCUUUAGGAUCUCGUAAUUGGAAUGAGUACAAUUUAAAUCUCUUAACGAGGAACAAUUGGAGGGCAAGUCUGGUGCCAGCAGCCGCGGUAAUUCCAGCUCCAAUAGCGUAUAUUAAAGUUGUUGCAGUUAAAAAGCUCGUAGUUGAAUUUCGGGGUUAGUAGGUUGGUCAUGCCUCUGGUAUGUACUGGUCUCACUGAUUCCUCCUUCCUGAUGAGCCGUAAUGCCAUUAAUUUGGUGUUGGGGGAAUUUGGACUGUUACUUUGAAAAAAUUAGAGUGUUUAAAGCAAGCUAACGCUUGAAUACAUUAGCAUGGAAUAAUGAAAUAGGACGUUCGAUCCUAUUUUGUUGGUUUCUAGGAUUGACGUAAUGAUUAAUAGGGAUAGUUGGGGGCAUUAGUAUUCAAUUGUCAGAGGUGAAAUUCUUGGAUUUAUUGAAGACUAACUACUGCGAAAGCAUUUGCCAAGGAUGUUUUCAUUAAUCAAGAACGAAAGUUAGGGGAUCGAAGACGAUCAGAUACCGUCGUAGUCUUAACCAUAAACUAUGCCGACUAGGGAUCGGAUGAUGUUAAUUUUUUAAUGACUCAUUCGGCGCCUUACGGGAACAG
This 733-nucleotide ribosomal RNA is filed under the name uncultured Rhizophagus. RNAcentral describes it as "SSU rRNA". It matches the Rfam family "Eukaryotic small subunit ribosomal RNA", at positions 364 to 1100 of the family's 1831-position model. Lineage: Eukaryota; Fungi; Glomeromycota; Glomeromycetes; Glomerales; Glomeraceae. The record is from RNAcentral.